RNAcentral lists this unclassified non-coding RNA (148 nucleotides) under uncultured Rutstroemia. RNAcentral describes it as "sequence contains ITS2". Lineage: Eukaryota; Fungi; Ascomycota; Leotiomycetes; Helotiales; Rutstroemiaceae. The record is from RNAcentral.
CAACCCUCAAGCCUAGCUUGGUAUUGGAUCUCGUCGGUCACACGACGGGUCUUAAAGUCAUUGGCGGCGCCGUUGGGUCCUGAACGUAGUAAUAUAUUUCGUUACAGGUGCCCCGCGUGCUUCUGCCAUUAAACCCCCAAUUUUCAAU